This is a non-coding RNA of Euleptes europaea (tarantolino), 72 nucleotides long. Lineage: Eukaryota; Metazoa; Chordata; Lepidosauria; Squamata; Sphaerodactylidae. The record is from the annotation of a RefSeq genome assembly.
GGGGCUGUGGCUCAGUGGCAGAGCCUCUGCUUCGCAUGCAGAAGGUCUCCGGUUCAACCCCUGGCAGCUCCA